GCGUGCCUAUUACAUGCAAGUCGAGCGAACAGAUAAGGAGCUUGCUCCUUUGACGUUAGCGGCGGACGGGUGAGUAACACGUGGAUAACCUACCUAUAAGACUGGGAUAACUUCGGGAAACCGGAGCUAAUACCGGAUAACAUAUUGAACCGCAUGGUUCAAUAGUGAAAGGCGGCUUUGCUGUCACUUAUAGAUGGAUCCGCGCCGUAUUAGCUAGUUGGUAAGGUAACGGCUUACCAAGGCAACGAUACGUAGCCGACCUGAGAGGGUGAUCGGCCACACUGGAACUGAGACACGGUCCAGACUCCUACGGGAGGCAGCAGUAGGGAAUCUUCCGCAAUGGGCGAAAGCCUGACGGAGCAACGCCGCGUGAGUGAUGAAGGUCUUCGGAUCGUAAAACUCUGUUAUCAGGGAAGAACAAAUGUGUAAGUAACUGUGCACAUCUUGACGGUACCUGAUCAGAAAGCCACGGCUAACUACGUGCCAGCAGCCGCGGUAAUAC
Molecule: ribosomal RNA, 502 nt
Filed under: Staphylococcus sp. GUFBSama06-26
Lineage: Bacteria; Bacillati; Bacillota; Bacilli; Caryophanales; Staphylococcaceae
Description: bacterial SSU rRNA
Rfam family: Bacterial small subunit ribosomal RNA
Source: RNAcentral